This 1255-nucleotide long non-coding RNA is filed under the name Homo sapiens (human). RNAcentral describes it as "HSALNT0157837". Lineage: Eukaryota; Metazoa; Chordata; Mammalia; Primates; Hominidae. The record is from RNAcentral.
UGCAGUCCUGUGACCAGCCAGGCGCUUUUCCAAUCAGAGUCUGUUAAGAUCUUUGACAACAGUACCUGUAGUUGUUUGAAGAGGAGGUUUCAGUAGUGACCUGUACCCUUGGUAAUAACAGGCUUUAUAGGUAACAAAAUGUGUUCUCUGCCUACUGAAUAACAAAACACCAAUCAUGAGAUAACGCUUAGUAAAGCUGACUCAUUUCCUCCUUUACAGAUGAAAGGAGUUGUCCAAGAAAUGACUAUCUCAGAGGGAAAUUUUCCUUCAGGUCAUUACGUGAGUCUCUUUAAAGCAUGGCGGACUGUAGCAUUAGGUUUUCAGUUAUUAGGUAUAUUAAAAAGUAAAUUUUAUUAUGAAAUAAUAUCAUACAUUUAAAGCCCGGUCCGGUUUUAUCUUGAAAUAUGUGAUAACUCCUGGUUUCAGAUGCGAUUCAGAAGAAAUAGGUUGACUUGUAUCAUCAGGUGUCCAGAAGAUUAAAAUUUCUGUUUUAUUAAAAUGUGGAAUUCACGUUUGUUUUCAGCCAAGCAAGGUUUGGUGAUUCUGCAGCUGUCACCCUCAGCAUCUCUGUAGGACAGCCUCUUGCCCCUCUUCACCCAGGUCUGCAGGAGGGUGGCAGCGUGGCUUGGGAAGGCUGGGUGGCGGGAGCUCAGAGGGGGUGCAGUGUUCCCACCACACAGCGGCGGCUCAACUGCCCAGGCUGUGGGGUUUCCAGCUGUGUCGUGUUGACUUGAACCGACUCAGCAGGCGGUGCCCUCCUGGAGCACCUGAAGCCUCCAGAGAAAUAUGAUGGAAAACCAAGAGGCCUCCACCUCCCUGACUUGCUGCGACCUCCUGGGCUUUGCAGCCAGGCUGCUUUCGUGGAUGCAGUCCUCGAAGCUAGUUUGGAAGACAUUUAUUUUUAAAUAUACAGGAAGCCAAAUACGUUGAGAGAAAAGCCGCCUAAUGCAUUCCUCUGUUCAUCUCCAAAGUCAUAGCUGGUUUUCUAGACCCGAUUUUCAUCAGACUUUCCAAAGACAGAAAGAGUCUCCUCUACAUAGGGCUUCCUUCUUUGCCUUCAUCUGUAAUGCGAGCCUUGCCCUAGGUUGCCUCUCUCUCUCCUUGCUCCGCCUGCUUCGGAAUUCUCCUGUCAUUUCAACAGUGGUACCAAGCUUUUUGUUGUUAGGAAAUCACAAAUUCUGAAACACACUCAACUGAGCAGAUUUAAAAAUAACCUAGGCUUCUCUACUAUUUGGUUGUUUGAAUGCAAAGCAAA